AGGAGUUUGAUCCUGGCUCAGGAUGAAUGCUGGCGGCGUGCCUAAUACAUGCAAGUCGAGCGGUAAGGCCCUUCGGGGUACACGAGCGGCGGACGGCUGAGUAACGCGUGGGAACAUGCCCCAAAGUGAGGGAUAACGCACCGAAAGGUGUGCUAAUACCGCAUAUGGUCUUCGGAUUAAAGGAUUUAUCCGCUUUGGGAGUGGCCCGCGUACGAUUAGAUUGUUGGUGAGGUAACGGCUCACCAAGUCGACGAUCGUUAACUGGUCUGAGAGGAUGAUCAGUCAGACUGGAACUGAGACACGGUCCAGACUCCUACGGGAGGCAGCAGUAAGGAAUCUUCCACAAUGGGCGAAAGCCUGAUGGAGCAACGCCGCGUGCAGGAUGAAGGCCCUCGGGUCGUAAACUGCUUUUAUGAGUGAAGAAUAUGACGGUAACUCAUGAAUAAGCACCGGCUAACUACGUG
RNAcentral lists this ribosomal RNA (464 nucleotides) under uncultured bacterium. RNAcentral's name for it is "bacterial SSU rRNA". It matches the Rfam family "Bacterial small subunit ribosomal RNA", at positions 1 to 507 of the family's 1533-position model. The record is from RNAcentral.